AUGCUCUGGCUUGUUCCGGCCACUGUGCUCGUCUCCUACCUCCUCGUCUCGACCUCCAUUCAUGUCUAGUAGCUGCCCCGUGAGCUCCUGUGUCGCCCUGUGCCUCUGCCUCAUCGUCGUUCGCCUUAAAUGCGUCGCUAGCGCGAAUGCCCGUGCCGCGUCCAGCCUCUGCCCGUCAUUAAAGCUCGGUCGGAAGCUCACUCGUGAGCUCUAGAGCCCUCCCCGUGGCUAUAUAUAGCAUGCCCGAACCCCUCCGCGGCUCAUUCACUCCUCCCCCGCCUCUUUUACCCACCGUAGCAGCUCUCCUCGCUGUUUUCUUCUUCGGCCAUCGCGGCCACCACCGGAGUUCGUCUCGGUUCCGGCCACCACAGCCCCCUCUCCUCCUACCAAGCCCUCCAAUGUCUUCCUCUCUUUCCCGCGGUUCGCCCCACCCCACUGGUUCGUCUCCGGAGAGCCCCAUGGCAGCGUCCCCCGAGUCCGGCCGCCGCCUUCUCCUCUCGGCCUCAUCCUUGAUUCCGGCCGUCCACGCCUCCCCUCCACCCCCUGACUCCACCAACGCCUCCUACACCCUCCGGUGAACCCUCCCAAGCUCUCACUCGCCUCCCCGUCGCCGGAGCACCUCGCCCCCAAGAAAAUGGCCGCCGGAGCCACCUCUGUUCUCCCCUUCGUCGUGGUCGCUCUGCUCCUCUCCGACGUCUCCUCUGCGCGGGGAUGGAUGCAGCAGGCCAGGCCGAGCCCGCUGGUGGUCUCACCUUAGCCGGAGACGGCCAGAGCCACCGAGGCCCUCAUCGCCCGCACCCGAACAGAGCCAUCCCCACCGCCUUGUCCUGUUUCCCCCGCGUUCGGUCUAUCCCUCCCCUGGCCGCGGCACUCGCCAGCACGCCCGGCUGGCCCCUCGCCGACCGGAGUCGAUCGCCGGAGCAUCCGCUCCCGUCGCCGGCCGCUCGACCCCACCCCUCCUCUAUUUCCUGUCGGGAGGAGGAAGAAGAAGAUGGGAGCAGGGAGUGGAUAAAGUGGGUCCCGCUUGUCAUCCCCUGCCCGUUGACCCAGCCACCUCUGCCCACGUGGCAAGUGGAGACGGUUUUCCCAGAAUUAGUCCCUGAUCUUCUACACCUCAUAACUCUGCAACCAUAACUCCGAUUGAGGUGAAACCAGCGCUCACUUCUUCGUCUCAUCGAGCUCUAUAUUUUGAUAAUAUUUCACUAGGUGGUCUCACCGUGAAAAUGACCAUUAUGCCCUUGCCUCUAAUCACCCCCCUCCGAGAAAGAACCGCCCGGCGUUUCGUUUCGCGGCUUCACCACACUUCUUCUCGGAGUCUCCGUCACCCCCAGGCAAGCCACAGUACCCACUAACAUGAUAGUCAUGCAGUAGCCAUGGUUUUCAACUUGAAUAUUUAUUAAAUGUUUGCUUGUUUAAAAUAUGGUUAUCGUUGUUUCGGUAAUGCUUCUGGGUCAGUGCUUACUUUCUUGCUAUGUUGUUAUGCACUUGGUUAUCAUGCCCUGCUAGUUCCUAGUAUUCCUUUCAUAUUCUUAUGCUUGCUAGUAGUACAUGUUGAUGUUGCUGAUGGUCUUCGGUGCAUGACUCCCGUCUGUCCCGAGUACCGUUGUUAUGCAUGUUCCAUUGCAUCCAGUUGGUUAAAUGCUUGCAUGAUGACAUUGUUGAUAUGUUCUUGCAUGAUAUUUAUUGUUGAUGCUAGUGGUCAUGCUAUGUUCCUGAGAAGUGUGUACUUGUGGUGUUCAUGCUAAUCAGUAUGCCAUGCUCAGUUGGAUAUGAUUCGUUGUUGAUAUGGUUAAUAGUUAUGUUGCACCUCCAUGCUUAUGCUGAUAUCAUGUUCAUGCAUUGUAAUUUUCAUCAUGUUAUUUUAUCACGGAUCAGCAUAUUUGCAUUCAAGUUUAACCGGAUUAAAUUGAACUUGAACAACUGUUGGCUGAGUCAUGGUGCCACCAUAUCGAGCUGACAAGUGCAACCACACUUGCCUUUAUGGGGAGGUCCUAACUGGGUCUAUUGUCGUGCCUCUCGCCGAUGCCUCCAACGAGGGAAGGUUAUGGGCGUGCGGUACCCUAGCCCGGUAAGCAGACAUAACCUUGUGUGCCCGUUGUUGUUAUAUCCGGAUUGUCCCCGUUUGGGACCGUUUUGCCACGACGGUGGCCGUUGGUGCCUUUGGUAGGCACGGGUCCACCCAUGACCUGGCCCAGAGGGGAGUUGGUCGGAGUGGCCGGGAGAGUGUCAUGGCAGUAGAUCGGUUUUGUCGGAAUGUUGUUGGUCCACCCAAAUGGGAGCGAGAGGCCAUGGUUUCCGUGGUGUGGGUAUAGUGUACUAACCUCUGCAGAGUGUAUAUUAAAUCUAUCGAUUGCUGUGCCCGCAGAUAAGGGCCCAGUUCGUGUCGGUCACACUAUGGCUCAACAAUUAUAAUAAUAACUUGCUUAAUUACAACCCCGGUUCGAUGAUGAGAUAAGUUGGUGUUGUGAUCCAUGAAUGAUCACCGUUUGGUUACGAGGUAACUCGUUGAGCCCAGAGUGGUUCCAUUCGUGAUCCGUGAAUGAUGACCGUGGUAUCGAGGAUACCAAGUUGAUAAGUAUUCGUGAUGUUGUGCGAGAAUCGUGGGUAAAGAUCAAGCUCCUUGUGGUCAUUUAAUGAUUACUACGGUAUUGUUUAUACCAAGCUUGAUUUGAUCCUGAGAUCAUCGUGUAAUGUCCGAGGUGGGUAAGUGAUGCAUGUGAUGGUUACGAGGUAACCUGAACAGAAUAAGUGGUGCAUAUAGUGUCAUCAUGCACUACUAGGGAAAACCUUAUACACAGAAAUUUAGCAACAGCGCGGGUUAAAAAAGGGUGCUAGUGCUAGAUAGCAGUAGUGGUUCAGAAUAAACCGCGCUACAGAUACGAUUCUAGCAGUAGCAUGUGUGCCCGUAAAAGCGCUACUACUAAUAUUCCCAUUGCUGGAACGAUGGGCUACGCAUAGCAGUAGCGGCCUUGCAGGAAGCGCGCUACCGCUAGGGCAUGAGUAGCAGCGCGUUUCCCUGUAACAAAGCUACUGCUAAUGGAAAUAAAAUAAAAUGAAAAACAAAUAGAAAAGUAAAUGAAAUUGAAAGAAACAGAAAAAGGAGAAAGAAAAAAAAUAAAAUGUAAAGCAAAAUAAAUGAAAAAGCGAAAAAAUAGAGAAAGGCUUAGCUAUAGCGUGUGUUAGUAAGAGGCGCUGUAGCUAACGCAGCUGCAGCGGUUUCCAGGACCCCUGCUAUAGAAACAGAAAAGGAAAUAAAAGAGAAAGAAAAUUACAUAUGUAUAGAAGUAGCGCGUUUUGGAAAAAGCGCUAUAGCUACCUUAGCUAUAGCGCGUUCUCCGAAACGCGCUACCGCUAGUUUUGACUUAACCAAAAAACCGUCCCCCCCCCGCCACCACUUGCCCCCCAAAUCUCUUGACCCACCCCGCCGCCGUCUCCCCGGUUCGCCGUCGCCCCACUUCGCCGCCGUCUCCUGCCGACGUCGACGCCCCCGGAGCCACCAGAGCCGUGCCCCGUCGACGCCACCGGAGCCGCCCCCAACGCCACAGAGCCGCGCGGCCUCAUCAAUGCCACCGGAGCCGUCGCCCACGCCACCGGAUCCUCCCUCGCCACAACUGCCUCCCUCGCCGUCAUUGGAGAUGCCCCUGCCUCCCUCGCCACCACCGGAGCCAUCCUCUUUAAAGCAAUUUUUCUCGCAUCGACGUGGACGAUGCCUAUCCUGCAUCCUCUUCGUCGAGUC
Long non-coding RNA from Triticum urartu, 3736 nucleotides. RefSeq lists it as uncharacterized. NCBI's taxonomy places the organism in Eukaryota, Viridiplantae, Streptophyta, Magnoliopsida, Poales, Poaceae. The record is from RefSeq and is a predicted model, not a curated record.